CAGCAGGCGCGAAAACUUUGCAAUGCGGGAAACCGUGACAAGGGAACUCUGAGUGCCCGUUAAAUCGGGCUGUCCAUCGGUUUAAACAACCGGUGAAGAAAGGGCCGGGCAAGACCGGUGCCAGCCGCCGCGGUAAUACCGGCGGCUCGAGUGGUGGCCACUAUUACUGGGCUUAAAGCGUUCGUAGCUGGUUUGUUAAGUCUCUGGGGAAAUCUUCCGGCUCAACCGGAAGGCGUCUCAGGGAUACUGGCAGACUAGGGACCGGGAGAGGUGAGAGGUACUCCAGGGGUAGGAGUGAAAUCCUGUAAUCCUUGGGGGACCACCUGUGGCGAAGGCGUCUCACCAGAACGGCUCCGACAGUGAGGGACGAAAGCUGGGGGAGCAAACCGGAUUAGAUACCCGGGUAGUCCCAGCUGUAAACGAUGCGCGUUAGGUGUAUCGGUGACCACGAGUCACCGAGGUGCCGAAGAGAAAUCGUGAAACGUGCCGCCUGGGAAGUACGGUCGCAAGGCUGAAACUUAAAGGAAUUGGCGGGGGAGCACAAGG
This 546-nucleotide ribosomal RNA is filed under the name uncultured archaeon. RNAcentral describes it as "bacterial SSU rRNA". It matches the Rfam family "Archaeal small subunit ribosomal RNA", at positions 333 to 883 of the family's 1478-position model. The record is from RNAcentral.